This 971-nucleotide long non-coding RNA is filed under the name Mytilus galloprovincialis (Mediterranean mussel). Lineage: Eukaryota; Metazoa; Mollusca; Bivalvia; Mytilida; Mytilidae. The record is from RNAcentral.
CGAGAAUAAAAUACCGAAACUUUAUUAUUAAUUAUUUUACAGGUUGCAACGAAGAAACCAUAUUGGCCUGCAUUUGGAAUAUGCGGAAUAGUGUCGUGGCUUAUCAGUGGUUGCAACCGACGUCUGGUUAUUAUGUUCACGUUACCAUGGCCUGCAUUUCUAAACUAUAUAGAAUACACAAAUAAACUUUCUGUUGGCAUAUCCGACGUCGGUAUCACUGAACAUGAUAGCAAAUGGCAUAAAGCAAUGAAAAAACUAUAUAACACGUACCCCGGACUUAAUUUCAAAACUGAAGAAUAUAUCAAUUCCACAAGACCGGUGAAAGUCGCAGAUGAAACAUUCCAAGUGAGUGGAAUCAUGGGAACAGGUCAUCAAAUCGAGGCUAAAGUAGUGUUUAAACCAAAUCACGUGGAUAAUUUGGCACAGAAUCUAAAACAAACUGUUUUAAUGAGUCAAAGUUAUAAAUGAGAUUGAUAUGACUCUUUAUAGUAUGUGAUGCAUUAAUUUUUCACUGCAUGUUUUCUACAUUCUGAACAUGGUCUUGAAAAGUAUGUUAACAUAAUUAAAGUUUCUGAAGCAUUUAAUUACUUGUCAAUUGAAACAGUACAGUGUAAAAAUAACAGUAUUGGAAAUUGUACACAUUUUAUACUUGUUGUUAUUUAAGCAUUGAAUGCUGUUCCGCGCUUCAUAUUAAAAAUGUGCGCACGCUUAACGCUUUUACAACCCUAUGAAGUUACGAAAUGAAGCAUUCAAUAAUUACCUUUUUUAAGCAAUGAUCAUAAAACACGAAUUUUAUUAUUGUUUUAUUUAAUUCACCUGUGUACUUUAUUGUGGGACCACGUGUUAUCAUGAAUGAAAAGUUUUAUUGAGCAAUGCAAUUGCUUACGGAAUAACACGUGAUGUGCAGUUAGCCAAUCAAAAUAAAGUAUCAUAAUGAAACAUACAUCUAAUGUAAUUAUACUUUAAUACAA